Molecule: ribosomal RNA, 347 nt
Filed under: uncultured Glomeromycotina
Lineage: Eukaryota; Fungi; Glomeromycota
Description: SSU rRNA
Rfam family: Eukaryotic small subunit ribosomal RNA
Source: RNAcentral
AGCAGCCGCGGUAAUUCCAGCUCCAAUAGCGUAUAUUAAAGUUGUUGCAGUUAAAAAGCUCGUAGUUGAAUUUCGGGGUCAAUAAGUUGGUCAUGCCAAUGGUAUGCACUGGCUUUAUUGAUUCCUACCUCUUGACGAACUGUGAUGCCAUUAAUUUGGUGUUGCAAGGAAUCAGGACUGUUACCUUGAAAAAUUAGAGUGUUUAAAGCAAGCUUACGCUUGAAUACAUUAGCAUGGAAUAAUGAAAUAGGACGUUUGAUCCUAUUUUGUUGGUUUUUAGGAUCGACGUAAUGAUUAAUAGGGAUAGUUGGGGGCAUUAGUAUUCAAUUGUCAGAGGUGAAAUUCUU